AACGCACGAGACCUGCGGACCUGCGGAGGGAUCAUUACCGAGUUUACAACUCCCAAACCCAAUGUGAACCAUACCAAACUGUUGCCUCGGCGGGGUCACGCCCCGGGUGCGUCGCAGCCCCGGAACCAGGCGCCCGCCGGAGGGACCAACCAAACUCUUUCUGUAGUCCCCUCGCGGACGUUAUUUUUACAGCUCUGAGCAAAAAUUCAAAAUGAAUCAAAACUUUUAACAACGGAUCUC
RNAcentral lists this unclassified non-coding RNA (240 nucleotides) under soil metagenome. Its description in RNAcentral is "partial contains 5.8S ribosomal RNA, internal transcribed spacer 2, and large subunit ribosomal RNA". The record is from RNAcentral.